This 454-nucleotide ribosomal RNA is filed under the name uncultured bacterium. Its description in RNAcentral is "bacterial SSU rRNA". It matches the Rfam family "Bacterial small subunit ribosomal RNA", at positions 340 to 786 of the family's 1533-position model. The record is from RNAcentral.
UACGGAAGGCAGCAGUGGGGAAUAUUGCACAAUGGGCGCAAGCCUGAUGCAGCCAUGCCGCGUGUAUGAAGAAGGCCUUCGGGUUGUAAAGUACUUUCAGUCGUGAGGAAGGUGUUAAGGUUAAUAACCUUAGCAAUUGACGUUAGCGACAGAAGAAGCACCGGCUAACUCCGUGCCAGCAGCCGCGGUAAUACGGAGGGUGCGAGCGUUAAUCGGAAUUACUGGGCGUAAAGGGCACGCAGGCGGUUAAUUAAGUUGGAUGUGAAAUCCCCGGGCUUAACCUGGGAAUGGCAUUCAAGACUGGUUAGCUAGAGUCUUGUAGAGGGGGUAGAAUUCCAUGUGUAGCGGUGAAAUGCGUAGAGAUGUGGAGGAAUACCGGUGGCGAAGGCGGCCCCGUGGACAAACGACUGACGCUCAUGUGCGAAAGCGUGGGGAGCAAACAGGAUUAGAUACC